CAAGCAUUUAUUUUAUGACAUUCAGCUACAAAAGUCUUAAUAUUUGAUAGGAUAUGUGUGAAAGGAAACAGGAUAGGAAGCAUUAUCAUCAAGCAAAGCCAUGUUAAUAGCUGGUUUCUGUGAUGAGCUCUGCCAGCAGGAUAAAAAAACCCAAAUCAGCUUGCAGUCAGGUGAAACAGGUGUGUUUUUCCGUCUAUCUAAAUCAAAAUGACAAGCAGUAAUGGGAGCAGCAGUGUGUACAUCUCAGUGUGAUGAUUAAUACCAAACUCCAGGGUAAAUCCCCUGAGGCAAAUCACCCAGCGAAACAUCCAGAUCAUUGAAGUGGCGGCGACGGUAGGUCCCUGAGUCAGAGUCGCCAUCUAGUGAAAAGAGGCCAGAACUGCAGAUCGCUCAGGACAGAUGCUCGCCAGGAUCCUGUAAGAUCCAGUAGGACAUAUCAGGGAUCAGUUUAGCUUGUUGUUCAUAUUAAAUGUAAUUAAAAAAAGAAAGUGGUGAGUGAUUUUUUUUAUCAGUAUUUCCAUUCUGGGGGACCUUUUUUAAAAAGUCCUGCAUUUUGUUGCAUAUAACUAAAUGGUUGUAUAACUGAUCUUUUUCUCACUCCUGUCUUAUAGUUGUGCGACCGCAGUACUGCAAUAAUUUAUCACAACAUCCCAUAGCUGCAUCAGCACCAAAGUUCUGCUGAGACACGUCUCCAAGUCAGCAAUGGAACAGAAGGCGAAUGAGUGUCCCUCCACCACCUCUCCUCAGAAGCACAUGAAGAACAGGUCCAAAUCCACAGAGGAGAUGCAACAGACCAAGAAGGCCUUUUCCUCACAAAAAUCACUCCCAGGCAGACCAGAGCUGGACAAAGUGAAGGAGUGUCCUGACGGAUCUGAUAUGCCCACAUCCUCCACUGAGGAGCUGAAGUGAUAAAUGGAAGGACCAACAGAACAUCAGAGUUGUCAUCAAGUUACAAGCUCAUCGUAAACACAACAUGCUGAAAAAUGUACAUAUGUACACAGGGAAACAUACAAACUAUUGAGGAUAACUAGAUUAUAAAACAUGCAAAAAAAAAAAAGAAUUAAUCAUUGGUUGAAGGGAACUG
Chelmon rostratus (copperband butterflyfish) is the source of this 1084-nucleotide long non-coding RNA. RefSeq lists it as uncharacterized. The record is from RefSeq and is a predicted model, not a curated record. The transcript has 4 exons. Lineage: Eukaryota; Metazoa; Chordata; Actinopteri; Chaetodontiformes; Chaetodontidae.